UGAACGCUGGCGGCGUGCCUCAUACAUGCAAGUCGAGCGAACAGAUAAGGAGCUUGCUCCUUUGACGUUAGCGGCGGACGGGUGAGUAACACGUGGGUAACCUACCUAUAAGACUGGGAUAACUUCGGGAAACCGGAGCUAAUACCGGAUAACAUUUGGAACCGCAUGGUUCUAAAGUGAAAGAUGGUUUUGCUAUCACUUAUAGAUGGACCCGCGCCGUAUUAGCUAGUUGGUAAGGUAACGGCUUACCAAGGCAACGAUACGUAGCCGACCUGAGAGGGUGAUCGGCCACACUGGAACUGAGACACGGUCCAGACUCCUACGGGAGGCAGCAGUAGGGAAUCUUCCGCAAUGGGCGAAAGCCUGACGGAGCAACGCCGCGUGAGUGAUGAAGGGUUUCGGCUCGUAAAACUCUGUUAUUAGGGAAGAACAAACGUGUAAGUAACUGUGCACGUCUUGACGGUACCUAAUCAGAAAGCCACGGCUAACUACGUG
Molecule: ribosomal RNA, 495 nt
Filed under: uncultured bacterium
Lineage: Bacteria
Description: partial 16S ribosomal RNA
Rfam family: Bacterial small subunit ribosomal RNA
Source: RNAcentral